Molecule: transfer RNA, 64 nt
Filed under: Cerambycidae sp. 1 KM-2017
Lineage: Eukaryota; Metazoa; Arthropoda; Insecta; Coleoptera; Cerambycidae
Description: tRNA-Pro
Source: RNAcentral
CAGAAAAUAGUUUAUUUAAAAUUUUAAUUUUGGAGAUUAAAGAUAGGGAUUACUCUUUUUCUGA